This 351-nucleotide ribosomal RNA is filed under the name uncultured bacterium. RNAcentral describes it as "partial 16S ribosomal RNA". It matches the Rfam family "Bacterial small subunit ribosomal RNA", at positions 338 to 686 of the family's 1533-position model. The record is from RNAcentral.
CCUACGGUGUGCAGCAGUGAGGAAUAUUGGUCAAUGGACGAGAGUCUGAACCAGCCAAGUAGCGUGAAGGAUGACUGCCCUAUGGGUUGUAAACUUCUUUUAUAAAUGAAUAAAACGAGGCACGUGAGCCUUUUUGCAUGGACUUUAUUAAUAAAGAUCGGCUAACUCCGUGCCAGCAGCCGCGGUAAUACGGAGGAUCCGGGCGUUAUCCGGAUUUAUUGGGUUUAAAGUGAGCGUAGAUGGGUUGUUAAGUCAGUUGUGAAAGUUUGCGGCUCAACCGUAGAAUUGCAAUUGCUACUGGCAGUCUUGAGUACAGUUGAGGUAGGCGGAAUUCGUGGUGUAGCGGUGAAA